AACGAACGCUGGCGGCAGGCUUAACACAUGCAAGUCGAACGCCCCGCAAGGGGAGUGGCAGACGGGUGAGUAACGCGUGGGAAUCUACCCAAUUCUACGGAACAACAGUUGGAAACGACUGCUAAUACCGUAUACGCCCUACGGGGGAAAGAUUUAUCGGAAUUGGAUGAGCCCGCGUUGGAUUAGCUAGUUGGUGGGGUAAAGGCCUACCAAGGCGACGAUCCAUAGCUGGUCUGAGAG
RNAcentral lists this ribosomal RNA (240 nucleotides) under Neorhizobium sp. RNAcentral's name for it is "partial 16S ribosomal RNA". It matches the Rfam family "Bacterial small subunit ribosomal RNA", at positions 29 to 298 of the family's 1533-position model. The record is from RNAcentral. Lineage: Bacteria; Pseudomonadati; Pseudomonadota; Alphaproteobacteria; Hyphomicrobiales; Rhizobiaceae.